UGAUACGUAGGGUGCGAGCGUUGUCCGGAUUUAUUGGGCGUAAAGAGCUCGUAGGUGGUUUGUUGCGUCGGAAGUGAAAACUUGGGGCUUAACCCUAAGCUUGCUUUCGAUACGGGCGGACUUGAGGGAGGUAGGGGAGAACGGAAUUCCUGGUGGAGCGGUGGAAUGCGCAGAUAUCAGGAGGAACACCGGUGGCGAAGGCGGUUCUCUGGACCUUUCCUGACGCUGAGGAGCGAAAGCGUGGGGAGCAAACAGG
This 256-nucleotide ribosomal RNA is filed under the name uncultured bacterium. RNAcentral's name for it is "partial 16S ribosomal RNA". It matches the Rfam family "Bacterial small subunit ribosomal RNA", at positions 521 to 776 of the family's 1533-position model. The record is from RNAcentral.